UCAAACUUGGUCAUUUAGAGGAAGUAAAAGUCGUAACAAGGUUUCCGUAGGUGAACCUGCGGAAGGAUCAUUACAGGGUUAUGCCUGGGAUAUGCUUUUAUCCUAAGGCAGCCAUGAUCAUCCCUUUGUGCACUUAUUGAUACCUGAGGCUUUGGCAGACGUCAAAAAUCUGCCAAAGACCUUGACCAAAUAAACCUUUUAGUCUGAUCUACUUGACUGAACUUUGAUUAGCAAUGUAAAUACAACUUUCAACAACGGAUCUCUUGGCUCUCGCAUCGAUGAAGAACGCAGC
This 292-nucleotide unclassified non-coding RNA is filed under the name uncultured fungus. RNAcentral's name for it is "partial contains small subunit ribosomal RNA, internal transcribed spacer 1, and 5.8S ribosomal RNA". The stretch from base 1 to 73 matches the Rfam family "Eukaryotic small subunit ribosomal RNA", at positions 1759 to 1831 of the family's 1831-position model. The record is from RNAcentral. Lineage: Eukaryota; Fungi.